Molecule: transfer RNA, 94 nt
Filed under: Herbaspirillum sp.
Lineage: Bacteria; Pseudomonadati; Pseudomonadota; Betaproteobacteria; Burkholderiales; Oxalobacteraceae
Description: tRNA-OTHER
Rfam family: tRNA
About the family: Transfer RNA (tRNA) molecules are approximately 80 nucleotides in length. Their secondary structure includes four short double-helical elements and three loops (D, anti-codon, and T loops).
Source: RNAcentral
UCAUCGAUAGCUCAAUUUCUAGAGUGGGGGACGGUAGGUCAACAUUGCAGAGAAGGAUAUCCUUAGGUCGCUGGUUCGAAUCCAGCUCGAUGGA